CUGUAAGCCGUUGAAGGUGUGCUGUGAGGCAUGCUGGAGGUAUCAGAAGUGCGAAUGCUGACAUAAGUAACGAUAAAGCGGGUGAAAAGCCCGCUCGCCGGAAGACCAAGGGUUCCUGUCCAACGUUAAUCGGGGCAGGGUGAGUCGACCCCUAAGGCGAGGCCGAAAGGCGUAGUCGAUGGGAAACAGGUUAAUAUUCCUGUACUUGGUGUUACUGCGAAGGGGGGACGGAGAAGGCUAUGUCGGCCGGGCGACGGUUGUCCCGGUUUAAGCGUGUAGGUGUGUGCUCCAGGCAAAUCCGGUGCACUUUAACACUGAGGCGUGAUGACGAGGCACUACGGUGCUGAAGUGACAAAUGCCCUGCUUCCAGGAAAAGCCUCUAAGCAUCAGGUAACAUCAAAUCGUACCCCAAACCGACACAGGUGGUCAGGUAGAGAAUACCAAGGCGCUUGAGAGAACUCGGGUGAAGGAACUAGGCAAAAUGGUGCCGUAACUUCGGGAGAAGGCACGCUGAUAUGUAGGUGAAGUGAUUUACUCAUGGAGCUGAAAUCAGUCGAAGAUACCAGCUGGCUGCAACUGUUUAUUAAAAACACAGCACUGUGCAAACACGAAAGUGGACGUAUACGGUGUGACGCCUGCCCGGUGCCGGAA
RNAcentral lists this ribosomal RNA (651 nucleotides) under Citrobacter koseri. Its description in RNAcentral is "partial 23S ribosomal RNA". It matches the Rfam family "Bacterial large subunit ribosomal RNA", at positions 1241 to 1874 of the family's 2925-position model. The record is from RNAcentral. Lineage: Bacteria; Pseudomonadati; Pseudomonadota; Gammaproteobacteria; Enterobacterales; Enterobacteriaceae.